GACGGAGGGUGCGAGCGUUAUUCGGAAUCAUUGGGCGUAAAGAGCGUGUAGGCGGCCGGUUAGGUCAGGUGUGAAAGCCCGGGGCUCAACCUCGGAAGUGCACUUGAAACUGGUCGGCUUGAGUUCGGGAGAGGGAAGCGGAAUUCCUGGUGUAGAGGUGAAAUUCGUAGAGAUCAGGAGGAACACCGGUGGCGAAGGCGGCUUCCUGGACCGAAACUGACGCUGAGACGCGAAAGAGUGGGGAGCAAACAGG
RNAcentral lists this ribosomal RNA (253 nucleotides) under uncultured bacterium. Its description in RNAcentral is "partial 16S ribosomal RNA". It matches the Rfam family "Bacterial small subunit ribosomal RNA", at positions 524 to 776 of the family's 1533-position model. The record is from RNAcentral.